Long non-coding RNA from Gorilla gorilla gorilla (western lowland gorilla), 528 nucleotides. RefSeq lists it as uncharacterized. The record is from RefSeq and is a predicted model, not a curated record. The transcript has 7 exons. NCBI's taxonomy places the organism in Eukaryota, Metazoa, Chordata, Mammalia, Primates, Hominidae.
UGAAAUCACAGGGGGUCUAAGCGAGCAUUUCUUGCUCUCUUCUGUUCCUUUGGUGGGAUUACAGAACAGGUAUUAGAGGAAUAUGAUUCGCAAGAGGCUUUCUUGGCUUUCUGCCUUCCACCAUUAGAUGAUGCAGCAAGAAGACCAUCACCAGCACCAGAAUCAAUGAACUCUGCAAAGAUCCUGGACUCCUUCUCCUGCUGCAUAAUAAAGGAAGUGAAAUUCUGCUUCAUCGAUGAAUAACAGGAUUUUAUAUAAAACUUUGAAUGACAUAGGAGGGACAAUUUGCAUAGAACAACAAGUCCUCAAACUGGCCACAAGAAACUUCUGUACUUUUUCUCUCAAGGUCAUACAGCCCUGAAUCUGAUAGCAACAGAGCUUCAGCAAUAACAGCAGAUACCAUCUUAGAUUAAUGAAUCUCUUCAAAAGUGGACCAUCAAUCACUGAACAUGUGCAUGAAGAAAUGACCUUCAUGUCAAUUUUUUCUUCUACAUAAUUUUCCUCUCUUUGGACAAAUUCUUCAAGGUA